Molecule: long non-coding RNA, 357 nt
Filed under: Cyanistes caeruleus (blue tit)
Lineage: Eukaryota; Metazoa; Chordata; Aves; Passeriformes; Paridae
Description: lncRNA (ENSCCEG00000014430.1)
Source: RNAcentral
GUUCGGUAUCUGCACCUGCCCUGAAGAGAACUGGAAGACAGAAAGGUUACAUUGUGUUCAGGCUGCGGAGGGGAGCAUUUCCAAGCCUUAUUCAUUUGGAAAGAGAUUUCUGGGAUAUGCAGAUUCCGCCCUUCUGACAUCACUGCCUCAUCUCGCCUCAUCGGUGCCUCAUGACACAACCCCUCUCCACAGCACUGAGUCAGCAGCACUGUGUGAUCUCCUCUUGGCCAUGCAAGAUGGUGAAAAGCUGCCCAUAAUGGUGAAAGCAUAGAGGGACCUCUAAACAGGUCCCCAAAGGGAUUAAAAAACUCAUGGUCAUUUUAUGAGAACCCCUCCCAGGAAAUAACAUGUGCUUGG